Molecule: transfer RNA, 71 nt
Organism: Malassezia pachydermatis
Lineage: Eukaryota; Fungi; Basidiomycota; Malasseziomycetes; Malasseziales; Malasseziaceae
Rfam family: tRNA
About the family: Transfer RNA (tRNA) molecules are approximately 80 nucleotides in length. Their secondary structure includes four short double-helical elements and three loops (D, anti-codon, and T loops).
Source: Rfam
UAGGAUGUCGUCUAAAGGCAGGACAUUUCUUUUUGGAUGAAAGAAUGGUUGUUCGAUUCAACCCAUCCUAG